RNAcentral lists this ribosomal RNA (213 nucleotides) under Pteroptrix sp. D2704. Its description in RNAcentral is "partial 28S ribosomal RNA". It matches the Rfam family "Eukaryotic large subunit ribosomal RNA", at positions 967 to 1163 of the family's 3401-position model. Lineage: Eukaryota; Metazoa; Arthropoda; Insecta; Hymenoptera; Aphelinidae. The record is from RNAcentral.
UUUCCCUCAGGAUAGCUGGCACUCGCUCGAGCGAGUCUCAUCUGGUAAAGCGAAUGAUUAGAGGCCUUGGGGCCGAAACGACCUCAACCUAUUCUCAAACUUUAAAUGGGUGAGAUCUCUGGCUUGCUUGAACGUUGAAGCCACGAGAUUAAUUUAUUUCGGAUCAGAGUGCCAAGUGGGCCAAUUUUGGUAAGCAGAACUGGCGCUGUGGGA